Molecule: ribosomal RNA, 785 nt
Filed under: uncultured Alphaproteobacteria bacterium
Lineage: Bacteria; Pseudomonadati; Pseudomonadota; Alphaproteobacteria
Description: bacterial SSU rRNA
Rfam family: Bacterial small subunit ribosomal RNA
Source: RNAcentral
GGCAUGCCUCAUACAUGCAAGUCGAACGAGGUCUUCGGACCUAGUGGCGCACGGGUGAGUAACAUGUGGGAAUCUGCCUGAAGGUUCGGAAUAACUGCGGGAAACUGUAGCUAAUACCGGAUGUGUCUGCAAAGAGAAAGAUUUAUCGCCUUCAGAUGAGCCCGCACUAGAUUAGCUAGUUGGUGAGGUAACUGCUCCACCAAGGCUACGAUCUAUAGCUGAUUUGAGAGGAUGAUCAGCCACACUGGGACUGAGACACGGCCCAGACUCCUACGGGAGGCAGCAGUAGGGAAUAUUGGACAAUGGGGGAAACCCUGAUCCAGCAAUGCCGCGUGAGUGAAGAAGGCCUUAGGGUUGUAAAACUCUUUCAUCAAUGAUGAUAAUGACAUUAGUUGAAGAAGAAGCUCCGGCUAACUUCGUGCCAGCAGCCGCGGUAAUACGAAGGGGGCUAGCGUUGUUCGGAAUCACUGGGCGUAAAGCGUAUGUAGGCGGAUCAAAAAGUUAGAUGUGAAAUCCCUGGGCUCAACCCAGGAACUGCAUUUAAAACUAGUGAUCUAGAAAUUGGUAAAGGUUAGUAGAAUUUCCAGUGUAGAGGUGAAAUUCGUAGAUAUUGGAAAGAAUACCAGAAGCGAAGGCGACUAACUAGGCCAUUUUUGACGCUGAGAUACGAAAGCGUGGGUAGCAAACAGGAUUAGAUACCCUGGUAGUCCACGCAGUAAACGAUGAGUGCUAGUCGCUGGGACAAUAGUUUCAGUGUCGAAGCUAACGCAUUAAGCACUCCGCCU